RNAcentral lists this transfer RNA (72 nucleotides) under Bos taurus (domestic cattle). It matches the Rfam family "tRNA". Rfam says of the family: Transfer RNA (tRNA) molecules are approximately 80 nucleotides in length. Their secondary structure includes four short double-helical elements and three loops (D, anti-codon, and T loops). Lineage: Eukaryota; Metazoa; Chordata; Mammalia; Artiodactyla; Bovidae. RNAcentral also lists the same sequence under 1 other name. The record is from Rfam by way of RNAcentral.
UCCCUGGUGGCUCAGAUGGUAAAGAAUCUGUCUGCAAUACAGGAGACCCAGGUUUGAUCCCUGGGUUGGGAA